CCUACGGGAGGCAGCAGUGGGGAAUAUUGGACAAUGGGGGGAACCCUGAUCCAGCCAUGCCGCGUGUGUGAAGAAGGCCUUAUGGUUGUAAAGCACUUUAAGCGAGGAGGAGGCUACUGAGACUAAUACUCUUGGAUAGUGGACGUUACUCGCAGAAUAAGCACCGGCUAACUCUGUGCCAGCAGCCGCGGUAAUACAGAGGGUGCGAGCGUUAAUCGGAUUUACUGGGCGUAAAGCGUGCGUAGGCGGCUUUUUAAGUCGGAUGUGAAAUCCCCGAGCUUAACUUGGGAAUUGCAUUCGAUACUGGGAAGCUAGAGUAUGGGAGAGGAUGGUAGAAUUCCAGGUGUAGCGGUGAAAUGCGUAGAGAUCUGGAGGAAUACCGAUGGCGAAGGCAGCCAUCUGGCCUAAUACUGACGCUGAGGUACGAAAGCAUGGGGAGCAAACAGGAUUAGAUACCCUAGUAGUC
This 466-nucleotide ribosomal RNA is filed under the name uncultured bacterium. RNAcentral describes it as "bacterial SSU rRNA". It matches the Rfam family "Bacterial small subunit ribosomal RNA", at positions 338 to 795 of the family's 1533-position model. The record is from RNAcentral.